CAAAAACAUCGCCUCUUGAAACAACAAUAUAAGAGGUCCUGCCUGCCCAGUGACCACAUGUUCAACGGCCGCGGUACUUUGACCGUGCGAAGGUAGCGCAAUCACUUGUCUUUUAAAUGGAGACCUGUAUGAAUGGCACGACGAGGGCUUAACUGUCUCCUUUUUCCAGUCAAUGAAAUUGAUCUUCCCGUGCAGAAGCGGGAAUAAAACCAUAAGACGAGAAGACCCUGUGGAGCUUUAGACACUAAGUCAGCCCUUGUCCAAAACCCUAGCUUAAAAGACUGAACGCCAAAGGAGACCUGAUCUGAUGUCUUCGGUUGGGGCGACCUCGGGGGAAAGAAAAACCCCCGCGCGGAACAGGAAUACUAUAUUCCCAAAACUAAGAGCCACCACUCAAAGUAUCAGAAAUUCUGACCAACUAUAUGAUCCGGCCCAACGCCGAUCAACGGACCGAGUUACCCCAGGGAUAACAGCGCAAUCCCCUUUUAGAGCCCAUAUCGACAAGGGGGUUUACGACCUCGAUGUUGGAUCAGGACAUCCUAAUGGUGCAGCCGCUAUUAAGGGUUCGUUUGUUCAACGAUUAAAGUCCUACGUGAUCUGA
This 601-nucleotide ribosomal RNA is filed under the name Amblyglyphidodon orbicularis (orbicular damselfish). Its description in RNAcentral is "partial 16S ribosomal RNA". It matches the Rfam family "Bacterial large subunit ribosomal RNA", at positions 1808 to 2608 of the family's 2925-position model. Lineage: Eukaryota; Metazoa; Chordata; Actinopteri; Pomacentridae. The record is from RNAcentral.